AGUGAACGCUGGCGGUAGGCCUAACACAUGCAAGUCGAACGGCAGCACAGUAAGAGCUUGCUCUUACGGGUGGCGAGUGGCGGACGGGUGAGGAGUACAUCGGAAUCUACUUUUUCGUGGGGGAUAACGUAGGGAAACUUACGCUAAUACCGCAUACGACCUUCGGGUGAAAGCAGGGGAUCUUCGGACCUUGCGCGAUUGAAUGAGCCGAUGUCGGAUUAGCUAGUUGGCGGGGUAAAGGCCCACCAAGGCGACGAUCCGUAGCUGGUCUGAGAGGAUGAUCAGCCACACUGGAACUGAGACACGGUCCAGACUCCUACGGGAGGCAGCAGUGGGGAAUAUUGGACAAUGGGCGCAAGCCUGAUCCAGCCAUACCGCGUGGGUGAAGAAGGCCUUCGGGUUGUAAAGCCCUUUUGUUGGGAAAGAAAAGCAGCAGGUUAAUACCCCGCUGUUCUGACGGUACCCAAAGAAUAAGCACCGGCUAACUUCGUG
Molecule: ribosomal RNA, 492 nt
Filed under: uncultured bacterium
Lineage: Bacteria
Description: partial 16S ribosomal RNA
Rfam family: Bacterial small subunit ribosomal RNA
Source: RNAcentral